GAUGAACGCUGACGGCGUGCCUAAUACAUGCAAGUCGACGGAUGUAGCAAUACAUUAGUGGCGAAACGGGUGAGUAACACGUAGGUGACCUGCCUUAAAGAGGGGAAUACCACUUCGAAAGGAAGUGACAAAACCGCAUAAACUUAUAGAGAUUAGAAGGCUAUAAGGAAAAGAGCGAUCUACUUUAGGAGGGGCCUGCGGCCCAUCAGCUAGUUGGUAGAGGUAACGGCCUACCAAGGCGAAGACGGGUAGGGGACCUGAGAGGGUGAUCCCCCACAAUGGAACUGAAACACGGUCCAUACACCUGCGGGUGGCAGCAGUAGGGAAUAUUGCUUAAUGGGCGAAAGCCUGAAGCAGCAACGCCGCGUGGACGAAGAAGGCCUUCGGGUUGUAAAGUUCUUUUAUAUGGGAUGAGGAAGGACAGUACCAUAUGAAUAAGUCUCGGCUAACUACGUG
RNAcentral lists this ribosomal RNA (456 nucleotides) under uncultured bacterium. Its description in RNAcentral is "bacterial SSU rRNA". It matches the Rfam family "Bacterial small subunit ribosomal RNA", at positions 28 to 507 of the family's 1533-position model. The record is from RNAcentral.